Molecule: ribosomal RNA, 741 nt
Filed under: uncultured Pseudomonadota bacterium
Lineage: Bacteria; Pseudomonadati; Pseudomonadota
Description: bacterial SSU rRNA
Rfam family: Bacterial small subunit ribosomal RNA
Source: RNAcentral
UGAACGCUGGCGGCAGCCCUAACACAUGCAAGUCGAACGGUAACAGGAAACAGCUUGCUGUUUCGCUGACGAGUGGCGGACGGGUGAGUAAUGUCUGGGAAACUGCCUGAUGGAGGGGGAUAACUACUGGAAACGGUAGCUAAUACCGCAUAACGUCGCAAGACCAAAGAGGGGGACCUUCGGGCCUCUUGCCAUCGGAUGUGCCCAGAUGGGAUUAGCUAGUAGGUGGGGUAACGGCUCACCUAGGCGACGAUCCCUAGCUGGUCUGAGAGGAUGACCAGCCACACUGGAACUGAGACACGGUCCAGACUCCUACGGGAGGCAGCAGUGGGGAAUAUUGCACAAUGGGCGCAAGCCUGAUGCAGCCAUGCCGCGUGUAUGAAGAAGGCCUUCGGGUUGUAAAGUACUUUCAGCGGGGAGGAAGGGAGUAAAGUUAAUACCUUUGCUCAUUGACGUUACCCGCAGAAGAAGCACCGGCUAACUCCGUGCCAGCAGCCGCGGUAAUACGGAGGGUGCAAGCGUUAAUCGGAAUUACUGGGCGUAAAGCGCACGCAGGCGGUUUGUUAAGUCAGAUGUGAAAUCCCCGGGCUCAACCUGGGAACUGCAUCUGAUACUGGCAAGCUUGAGUCUCGUAGAGGGGGGUAGAAUUCCAGGUGUAGCGGUGAAAUGCGUAGAGAUCUGGAGGAAUACCGGUGGCGAAGGCGGCCCCCUGGACGAAGACUGACGCUCAGGUGCGAAAGC